This 376-nucleotide ribosomal RNA is filed under the name uncultured bacterium. RNAcentral's name for it is "bacterial SSU rRNA". It matches the Rfam family "Bacterial small subunit ribosomal RNA", at positions 524 to 898 of the family's 1533-position model. The record is from RNAcentral.
UACAGAGGGGGCAAGCGUUAUUCGGAAUUAUUGGGCGUAAAGGGCGCGUAGGCGGCCUAGCAAGUCAGGGGUGAAAUCCCUCGGCUCAACCGAGGAAUUGCCUCUGAAACUGCAAGGCUUGAGACCGGGAGAGGGUGGUGGAAUUCCCAGUGUAGCGGUGAAAUGCGUAGAUAUUGGGAGGAACACCGGUGGCGAAGGCGGCCACCUGGACCGGUUCUGACGCUGAGGCGCGAAAGUGUGGGGAGCAAACAGGAUUAGAUACCCUGGUAGUCCACACUGUAAACGAUGAGCACUCGGUGUUGUGGGUGUCGACCCCUACAGUGCCUUAGGAAACCCGUUAAGUGCUCCGCCUGGGGAGUACGGUCGCAAGGCUGAA